UUUGUUGUUCGGAGUUUGCUCUCCUAGGUGAAUUGCCUACCACGGCUAACGAGCUCCACCUGCCCGGGUUUGUUGUUCGGAGUUUGCUCUCCUAGGCAGACUGCCUACCACGGCUAACGAGCUCCACCUGCCCGGGUUUGUUGUUCGGAGUUUGCUCUCCUAGGCAGACUGCCUACCACGGCUGACGAGCUCCACCUGUCCGGGUUUAUUGUUCGGAGUUUGCUCUCCUAGGCAGACUGCCUACCACGGCUAACGAGCUCCACCUGCCCGGGUUUGUUGUUCGGAGUUUGCUCUCCUAGGCAGACUGCCUACCACGGCUAACGAGCUCCACCUGCCCGGGUUUGUUGUUCGGAGUUUGCUCUCCUAGGCAGACUGCCUACCACGGCUGACGAGCUCCACCUGUCCGGGUUUAUUGUUCGGAGUUUGCUCUCCUAGGCAGACUGCCUACCACGGCUGACGAGCUCCACCUGCCCGGGUUUGUUGUUCGGAGUUUGCUCUUGUCGGUGAAUUGCCUACCACGGCUAACCAGCCGCACCUGCCAUGGCUUGUAGCCAGCAGAUCUCAGGCACCUCCGUGGAGGACCCGGGGGACGCCAAGGCGCCCUGCCGGGGUCCCUCCAUUCCUGCCAUGCUCGCCAGGGAAACCUUGGGCUUGCUGGCGCCUCGCAGCCCCGCCGAGGCGAGGAGGGAAGAUGCAGGAUCUCGCUUAA
This is a long non-coding RNA of Eriocheir sinensis (Chinese mitten crab), 709 nucleotides long. RefSeq lists it as uncharacterized. NCBI's taxonomy places the organism in Eukaryota, Metazoa, Arthropoda, Malacostraca, Decapoda, Varunidae. The record is from RefSeq and is a predicted model, not a curated record. The transcript has 2 exons.